This 301-nucleotide ribosomal RNA is filed under the name uncultured bacterium. RNAcentral's name for it is "partial 16S ribosomal RNA". It matches the Rfam family "Bacterial small subunit ribosomal RNA", at positions 509 to 809 of the family's 1533-position model. The record is from RNAcentral.
CAGCAGCCGCGGGAAUACGAAGGGGGCUAGCGUUGUUCGGAUUUACUGGGCGUAAAGCGCGCGUAGGCGGAUCGAUCAGUCAGGGGUGAAAUCCCAGAGCUCAACUCUGGAACUGCCUUUGAUACUGUCGAUCUGGAGUAUGGAAGAGGUGAGUGGAAUUCCGAGUGUAGAGGUGAAAUUCGUAGAUAUUCGGAGGAACACCAGUGGCGAAGGCGGCUCACUGGUCCAUUACUGACGCUGAGGUGCGAAAGCGUGGGGAGCAAACAGGAUUAGAUACCCCAGUAGUCCCUGUCUCUUAUAA